This 280-nucleotide long non-coding RNA is filed under the name Phoenix dactylifera (date palm). RNAcentral describes it as "long non-coding RNA (PDAC_LNC014862)". The record is from RNAcentral. Lineage: Eukaryota; Viridiplantae; Streptophyta; Magnoliopsida; Arecales; Arecaceae.
GAAAACCAAACCUGAUGCAUACAUUUUAUCACAAUGCCCAGUGAUCUUACACCGUAAGCACUGAAUUUAAUUGUCAUGUCCCAAGUGAUCAUAACCUUAAGCUAUGAUAUAUUUCUAUCACAAUCCUUAGUGAUCUUAAACAUAUGCUCGGAUUUCAAUUUUGUCACUAUCCCCAAUGACCUUAAACCUCAAACUCUAAUGCCACUAAGGCCACAGUCCCUAGUGGUCUUAAACCUUAGAUUACAAUAUCAUUCCUGUUACAAUCUCAAGUGAUUAUAAA